CCGGCGCACGGGUGAGUAACACGUAUGGAACCUGCCCUAUGCAGGGGGGAUAAGCGGAAGAAAUUCCGUCUAAUACCGCAUAACACCAUUUGGAGACAUCUCCAGGGGGUCAAAGGAGGCGACUCCGGCAUAGGAUGGCCAUACGUCGCAUUAGCUAGUCGGCGGGGUAACGGCCCACCGAGGCGACGAUGCGUAGGGGUUCUGAGAGGAAGGUCCCCCACACUGGUACUGAGACACGGACCAGACUCCUACGGGAGGCAGCAG
RNAcentral lists this ribosomal RNA (264 nucleotides) under uncultured bacterium. RNAcentral's name for it is "partial 16S ribosomal RNA". It matches the Rfam family "Bacterial small subunit ribosomal RNA", at positions 95 to 354 of the family's 1533-position model. The record is from RNAcentral.